GAGUUUGAUCCUGGCUCAGAUUGAACGCUGGCGGCAUGCCUUACACAUGCAAGUCGAACGGCAGCACGGGGGCACCCUGGUGGCGAGUGGCGAACGGGUGAGUAAUAUAUCGGAACGUGCCCUAGAGUGGGGGAUAACGUAGCGAAAGUUACGCUAAUACCGCAUACGAUCUACGGAUGAAAGUGGGGGAUCGCAAGACCUCAUGCUCUUGGAGCGGCCGAUAUCUGAUUAGCUAGUUGGUAGGGUAAUGGCCUACCAAGGCGACGAUCGGUAGCCGGCCUGAGAGGGUGAUCGGCCACACUGGAACUGAGACACGGUCCAGACUCCUACGGGAGGCAGCAGUGGGGAAUUUUGCGCAAUGGGCUAACGCCUGACGCAGCAACGCCGCGUGGAGGAUGAAGGUCUUUGGAUUGUAAACUCCUGUCAGCAGGGAAAAAGCGACUCGGUCUAACACACCGGGGAGUUGAUUGUACCUGCAGAGGAAGCCCCGGCUAACUCUGUGCCAGCAGCCGCGGUAAUACAGAGGGGGCAAGCGUUAUUCGGAAUUAUUGGGCGUAAAGGGCGCGUAGGCGGCCUUGCAAGUGGAUGGUGAAAUCCCUCGGCUUAACCGAGGAACUGCCGUCCAAACUGCUCGGCUUGAGACCAGGAGAGGUGAGUGGAAUUCCCAGUGUAGCGGUGAAAUGCGUAGAUAUUGGGAGGAACACCUGUGGUGUAGACGGCUCUCUGGACCGCAACUGACGCUGAGACACGAAAGCGUGGGUAGCAAACAGGAUUAGAUACCCUGGUAGUCCACGCCCUAAACGAUGCAUAUUUGGUGUAGGUCAUUCAGUUGAUCUGUGCCGGAGCUAACGCGUUAAAUAUGCCGCCUGGGGAGUACAGUCGCAAGGCUGAAACUCAAAGGAAUUGACGGGGGCCCGCACAAGCGGUGGAGCAUGUGGUUCAAUUCGACGCAACGCGAAGAACCUUACCUGGGCUCGAACGGCUCACGAAAAGCUGUGGAAACACGGUUUUCCCGCAAGGGACGGGAGUCGAGGUGCUGCAUGGCUGUCGUCAGCUCGUGUCGUGAGAUGUUGGGUUAAGUCCCGCAACGAGCGCAACCCUUGUCCUGUGUUACCAUCAUUUAGUUGGGAACUCGCAGGAGACCGCCAGCGAUAAGCUGGAGGAAGGUGGGGAUGACGUCAAGUCCUCAUGGCCUUUAUGUCCAGGGCUACACAUGUGCUACAAUGGCCGGUACAAUGCGCUGCCAACCCGCAAGGGGGAGCCAAUCGCAAAAAACCGGUCUCAGUUCGGAUUGCAGGCUGCAACUCGCCUGCAUGAAGCUGGAAUCGCUAGUAUGCCGUAUCAGAACGAUGGCGUGAAUACGUUCCCGGGCCUUGUACACAC
This 1383-nucleotide ribosomal RNA is filed under the name uncultured bacterium. Its description in RNAcentral is "bacterial SSU rRNA". It matches the Rfam family "Bacterial small subunit ribosomal RNA". The record is from RNAcentral.